UAUUGUAGCUGAAAAAACUUGUUUUUUUGACACGUUAUCCUCUUUAGUAAUCAUACUCUUUAUUUUGUGGUUGUAUUGCUUCUUAGACAAUAUUGAACAAUGUGCUUAGAUUUUCCACAAUAUAAGCAUAAAUCUUCUUGAUGACAUUGAGUCUUUUUUUAUUCAAUAUAAGUCUUAAAAUGUACCAUAUUAAUAUGCAUAGGUUUUUAUCUUGAAGACAUUUAGUCUUUUUUUACUCAGUAGAAAGCUUAAAAUGUACCAUGUCAAUUUAUAUAGGUACUUCUUUUAAUGAAUAAGCUUCUAUAAAUUAAGAAG
Molecule: long non-coding RNA, 315 nt
Filed under: Physcomitrium patens
Lineage: Eukaryota; Viridiplantae; Streptophyta; Bryopsida; Funariales; Funariaceae
Description: long non-coding RNA (PPAT_LNC012710)
Source: RNAcentral